GAUGAACGCUGGCGGCGUGCUUAACACAUGCAAGUCGAACGAAGCACUCUAUUUGAUUUUCUUCGGAAAUGAAGAUUUUGUGACUGAGUGGCGGACGGGUGAGUAACGCGUGGGUAACCUGCCUCAUGCAGGGGGAUAACAGUUGGAAACGACUGCUAAUACCGCAUAAGCGCACAGGAUCGCAUGAUCCGGUGUGAAAAACUCCGGUGGUAUGAGAUGGACCCGCGUCUGAUUAGCCAGUUGGCAGGGUAACGGCCUACCAAAGCGACGAUCAGUAGCCGACCUGAGAGGGUGACCGGCCACAUUGGGACUGAGACACGGCCCAAACUCCUACGGGAGGCAGCAGUGGGGAAUAUUGCACAAUGGGGGAAACCCUGAUGCAGCGACGCCGCGUGAGCGAAGAAGUAUUUCGGUAUGUAAAGCUCUAUCAGCAGGGAAG
This 439-nucleotide ribosomal RNA is filed under the name uncultured bacterium. RNAcentral's name for it is "bacterial SSU rRNA". It matches the Rfam family "Bacterial small subunit ribosomal RNA", at positions 28 to 447 of the family's 1533-position model. The record is from RNAcentral.